This 76-nucleotide transfer RNA is filed under the name Rhodococcus phage NiceHouse. RNAcentral describes it as "tRNA-Thr". It matches the Rfam family "tRNA". Rfam says of the family: Transfer RNA (tRNA) molecules are approximately 80 nucleotides in length. The record is from RNAcentral. Lineage: Duplodnaviria; Heunggongvirae; Uroviricota; Caudoviricetes.
GCCGCUUUAGCUCAGUCCGGCCAGAGCAGUCGCCUUGUAAGCGACCGGUCAACGGUUCGAAUCCGUUAAGCGGCCC